RNAcentral lists this ribosomal RNA (1866 nucleotides) under Fusobacterium necrophorum. RNAcentral's name for it is "partial 23S ribosomal RNA". It matches the Rfam family "Bacterial large subunit ribosomal RNA", at positions 1038 to 2925 of the family's 2925-position model. The record is from RNAcentral. Lineage: Bacteria; Fusobacteriati; Fusobacteriota; Fusobacteriia; Fusobacteriales; Fusobacteriaceae.
GCUAAGGUCCCAAAUCAUAUCUAAGUGGGAAAGGAGGUGGAGAUUCUUAAACAACUAGGAGGUUGGCUUAGAAGCAGCCAUUCCUUGAAAGAGUGCGUAAUAGCUCACUAGUCGAGAGUCUCUGCGCCGACAAUGUAACGGGGCUAAGAUAUGAACCGAAGCUGUGGAUGUCGUAAGACAUGGUAGGAGAGCGUUCUGUAGGCCGUCGAAGGAGGACUGAAAGGAACUCUGGAGGUAUCAGAAGUGAGAAUGCAGGAAUAAGUAGCGAGAAGGGGAGUGAGAAUCUCCCCCGCUGGAAGACCAAGGUUUUCAGGGUAAAGCUUGUCUUCCCUGAGUAAGCCGGGACCUAAGCCCAGGCUAGAAUGCGUAGGCGAAUGGAAAACAGAUGAAUAUUUCUGUGCCAGUUCUACUUUGUGAAGGAGGGACGCAGAAGGGUAUGCGCGCAGACGAACGGAAGAGUCUGUAGAAGCAUGUAGAGUGACUUGGUAGGCAAAUCCGCCAGGUUAGACUUAAGGUGUGACAUAUACUCGCAAGAGGAAUGCGCAAAUCCCACGCUGCCGAGAAAAGCUUCUAGCGGUAAAGUAGAGACUGCCCGUACUGGAAACCGACACAGGUGGUCAGGAUGAGAAAUCUAAAGCGGACAGGCUAACUCUCGUUAAGGAACUCUGCAAAAUGGCCCCGUAACUUCGGGAGAAGGGGUGCCUUUAGGCGUGAGUAUACAAGCGAUACAAAGCGCUUUGAGGUCGCAGUGAAGAGGCUCAAGCAACUGUUUAACAAAAACACAGGUCUAUGCGAAGCUGUAAGGCGAAGUAUAUGGGCUGACACCUGCCCAGUGCCGGAAGGUUAAGAGGAGGAGUGAGAGCUCCGAAUUGAAGCCCCGGUGAACGGCGGCCGUAACUAUAACGGUCCUAAGGUAGCGAAAUUCCUUGUCGGGUAAGUUCCGACCUGCACGAAUGGUGUAAUGAUUUGAGCGCUGUCUUGACGGGAGGCCUGGUGAAAUUGUAUUACCGGUGAAGAUACCGGUUACCUACAGUAGGACGGAAAGACCCCAUGGAGCUUUACUGUAGCUUGGUAUUGGGUUUUGGCAUGGCAUGUAUAGGAUAGUUGGGAGACUGGGAAGGAAUGGCGCUAGCUGUACCGGAGUCAUCGGUGGAAUACCAACCAUUCCCUGCUGAAAUUCUAAUCUGUACUUUGGAGGUAUGGAGACAGUGCUAGGUGGGCAGUUUGACUGGGGCGGUCGCCUCCGAAAGAGUAACGGAGGCGUUCAAAGGUUCUCUCAGGUUGGAUGGAAAUCAACCGCAGAGUGCAAUGGCAAAAGAGAGCUUGACUGCAAGACUGACGGGUCGAGCAGAUGCGAAAGCAGGACAUAGUGAUCCGGCGAUUCCGUAUGGAAGGGUCGUCGCUCAACGGAUAAAAGCUACCCUGGGGAUAACAGGCUGAUCCUACCCGAGAGUCCAUAUCGACGGUAGGGUUUGGCACCUCGAUGUCGGCUCAUCGCAUCCUGGGGCUGGAGAAGGUCCCAAGGGUUGGGCUGUUCGCCCAUUAAAGCGGUACGUGAGCUGGGUUCAGAACGUCGUGAGACAGUUCGGUCCCUAUCCACUGUAGGCGCAAGAAUAUUGAGAAGAUCUGUCCUUAGUACGAGAGGACCGGGAUGGACAAACCUCUGAUGUACCAGUUGUCACGCCAGUGGCACAGCUGGGUAGUCACGUUUGGCAUAGAUAACCGCUGAAAGCAUCUAAGCGGGAAACUAGCUUCAAGAUAAGUAUUCUAAGAGGAAGCUUCGAGAACAGGAGCUGGAUAGGUUGGGGGUGUACGCGCAGUAAUGUGUUUAGCUGACCAAUACUAAUCGAACGAAAUUUUAAUCGG